AUUGAACGCUAGCGGGAUGCUUUACACAUGCAAGUCGAACGGCAGCGCGGACUUCGGUCUGGCGGCGAGUGGCGAACGGGUGAGUAAUGUAUCGGAACGUGCCCAGUAGCGGGGGAUAACAACGCGAAAGCGUGGCUAAUACGGCAUAGGCCCUAGGGGGGAAGGAGGGGGAUCGUAGGACUUUGCACUAUUGGAGCGGCGGAUAUCGGAUUGGCUAGUUGGUGAGGUAACGGCUCACCAAGGCGACGAUCCGUAGCUGGUUUGAGAGGACGACCAGCCACACUGGGACUGAGACACGGCCCAGACUCCUACGGGAGGCAGCAGUGGGGAAUUUUGGACAAUGGGGGCAACCCUGAUCCAGCCAUCCCGCGUGUGCGAUGAAGGCCUUCGGGUUGUAAAGCACUUUUGGCAGGAAAGAAACGUCGCGGGCUAAUACCCCGUGGAACUGACGGUACCUGCAGAAUAAGCACCGGCUAACUACGUG
Molecule: ribosomal RNA, 484 nt
Filed under: uncultured bacterium
Lineage: Bacteria
Description: partial 16S ribosomal RNA
Rfam family: Bacterial small subunit ribosomal RNA
Source: RNAcentral